AAGAGACAAGAAAAAAACGAGAAAGGCAUGUCAGAGGGCUUCUGGGUAAUAUAAAGGGAUGUCCUAGGAAAGAUUUCAGUUGUUCGAGUUGAGCAUUCCAGCUGUUCAACAUCCGAUCCCAUGGGUUCAUGAGAAGGAAGAAGCUGACCACCACAUCAGACAAGUUCCAAAAUCUCAUUUACUCCUGGGGGCCACCUAAUCACACAAAACACCGAUCUUUUAAACACACACACACACUCUCCACCUCUUCAAAACGCCGUGUGAAAAGCCCAUAGAAACACAAAAGUCUAUUAUUAAGGACCCAGGGUCAC
Molecule: long non-coding RNA, 311 nt
Filed under: Bos taurus (domestic cattle)
Lineage: Eukaryota; Metazoa; Chordata; Mammalia; Artiodactyla; Bovidae
Description: long non-coding RNA NONBTAT024039
Source: RNAcentral